This 478-nucleotide ribosomal RNA is filed under the name uncultured bacterium. Its description in RNAcentral is "partial 16S ribosomal RNA". It matches the Rfam family "Bacterial small subunit ribosomal RNA", at positions 28 to 507 of the family's 1533-position model. The record is from RNAcentral.
GAUGAACGCUGGCGGCGUGCUUAACACAUGCAAGUCGAACGGGAAACCUUUUAUUGAAGCUUCGGCAGAUUUGGCUGGUUUCUAGUGGCGGACGGGUGAGUAACGCGUGGGUAACCUGCCUUAUACAGGGGGAUAACAACCAGAAAUGGUUGCUAAUACCGCAUAAGCGCACAGGACCGCAUGGUCCGGUGUGAAAAACUCCGGUGGUAUAAGAUGGACCCGCGUUGGAUUAGCUAGUUGGCAGGGUAACGGCCUACCACGGCGACGAUCCAUAGCCGGCCUGAGAGGGUGAACGGACACAUUGGGACUGAGACACGGCCCAGACUCCUACGGGAGGCAGCAGUGGGGAAUAGUGCACAAUGGGGGAAACCCUGAUGCAGCGACGCCGCGUGAAGGAAGAAGUAUCUCGGUAUGUAAACUUCUAUCAGCAGGGAAGAUAGUGACGGUACCUGACUAAGAAGCCCCGGCUAACUACGUG